UAAGACGAACCGUGCGAACGUUGUUCGGAAUCACUGGGCUUAAAGGGCGCGUAGGCGGAUGACCAAGUCAGGGGUGAAAUCCUCCGGCUUAACCGGAGAACAGCCUUUGAUACUGGUUGUCUCGAGGGAGGUAGGGGUCAUGGGAACUUCUGGUGGAGCGGUGAAAUGCGUUGAUAUCAGAAGGAACGCCGGUGGCGAAAGCGCAUGACUGGACCUCUUCUGACGCUGAGGCGCGAAAGCUAGGGGAGCGAACGGGAUUAGAUACCCCGGUAGUCCUAGCCCUAAACGUUGGGUACUAGAUUGUAGACUUGCAUGGGUUUACAGUCGAAGCAAAAGUGAUAAGUACCCCGCCUGGGGAGUAUGGUCGCAAGGCUG
This 375-nucleotide ribosomal RNA is filed under the name uncultured bacterium. RNAcentral describes it as "bacterial SSU rRNA". It matches the Rfam family "Bacterial small subunit ribosomal RNA", at positions 521 to 896 of the family's 1533-position model. The record is from RNAcentral.